RNAcentral lists this ribosomal RNA (116 nucleotides) under Scophthalmus maximus (turbot). The record is from RNAcentral. Lineage: Eukaryota; Metazoa; Chordata; Actinopteri; Pleuronectiformes; Scophthalmidae.
AAGCACGGCCACACCGCCUGGUUCACGCCCGAUCUCGUUUGAUCUCGGAAGCUAAGGUAGGUUGGGCCUGGUUAGUACUUGGAUGGGAGACCGCCUGAAUCCAGGUGCUGUAAAGC